GACCCUAUAGAGUUUUAUAAUCUUAUUGGUUUAAAUGUUUUGGUAUUAAUUAUUUAAAUCUUUAAGCUUAUUUGGUUGGGGUGACUGAAAAAUUAGAAAAACUUUUUUUAUAUAAUAACACUGAUUUGUGAAUACUUGAUCCAUUUUUUAUGAUUAAAAGAUAAAAUUACCUUAGGGAUAACAGCGUAAUUUUUCUUGAGAGUUCUAAUCGAAAGGAAAGUUUGCGACCUCGAUGUUGGAUUAAAAUAAACUUUUGGUGUAGCAGCUAUUAAAGUUUGGUCUGUUCGACCAUUAAAAUUUUACAUGAUCUGA
RNAcentral lists this ribosomal RNA (312 nucleotides) under Protocorynus bontai. RNAcentral describes it as "partial 16S large subunit ribosomal RNA". The stretch from base 177 to 312 matches the Rfam family "Bacterial large subunit ribosomal RNA", at positions 2473 to 2608 of the family's 2925-position model. Lineage: Eukaryota; Metazoa; Arthropoda; Insecta; Coleoptera; Belidae. The record is from RNAcentral.